UUUCCCUCUUUCUUCCUGCUUUACACCUGCAAGUCGAACGGCAGCGCGGGCUUCGGCCUGGCGGCGAGUGGCGAACGGGUGAGUAAUACAUCGGAACGUGCCCAGUAGUGGGGGAUAGCUCGGCGAAAGCCGGAUUAAUACCGCAUACGACCUGAGGGUGAAAGCGGGGGAUCUUCGGACCUCGCGCUAUUGGAGCGGCCGAUGGCAGAUUAGCUAGUUGGUGGGGUAAAGGCCUACCAAGGCGACGAUCUGUAGCUGGUCUGAGAGGACGACCAGCCACACUGGGACUGAGACACGGCCCAGACUCCUACGGGAGGCAGCAGUGGGGAAUUUUGGACAAUGGGCGAAAGCCUGAUCCAGCAAUGCCGCGUGUGUGAUGAAGGCCUUCGGGUUGUAAAGCACUUUUGGCGGGAACGAAAAGGACUGUGCCAAUACCACGGUUCGAUGACGGUACCCGCAGAAUAAGCACCGGCUAACUACGUG
RNAcentral lists this ribosomal RNA (483 nucleotides) under uncultured bacterium. RNAcentral describes it as "partial 16S ribosomal RNA". It matches the Rfam family "Bacterial small subunit ribosomal RNA", at positions 36 to 507 of the family's 1533-position model. The record is from RNAcentral.